This 46-nucleotide non-coding RNA is filed under the name Schistosoma margrebowiei. The record is from RNAcentral. Lineage: Eukaryota; Metazoa; Platyhelminthes; Trematoda; Strigeidida; Schistosomatidae.
GCACUGCUGAAGAGUCCUAUAAUAGGACGAAACGAUUGUCCAGCGC